GUACACACCGCCCGUCACACCAUGGGAGUUGGAAGCACCCGAAGUCGGUGACCUGACCGAAAGGGAGGAGCCGCCGAAGGUGAAGCCAGCGACUGGGGUGAAGUCGUAACAAGGUACC
RNAcentral lists this ribosomal RNA (118 nucleotides) under uncultured bacterium. Its description in RNAcentral is "partial 16S ribosomal RNA". It matches the Rfam family "Bacterial small subunit ribosomal RNA", at positions 1383 to 1500 of the family's 1533-position model. The record is from RNAcentral.